CUAACCUAAGUAACCUUAGGUUAGUCAUUGCCCCCUCUGAGACUUUCUCUAGCCAAAUGGGAUCAGAUUAGAUCACCACUAAGGUUCUCUCCCUAACAUUUAGUGAUGCCACUGUUGCAGUGUGUGGCUUUAACAUCAUGAGGCUACACCAAGAGCCAGUUCUUCAACUUGUCCUGCAAUCAGAAAGGCCCUACUGGUUGUCCUAUGACAGAAGCCCAGCAGCUGGGGAUGCCCUUUCCUCUCUAACCUCUGGAAAGACUGACCACCAUGCCUGCGAUUCAUAUUGCCUGCUGCUAUAUAAAAACUUCUGGUGUCAGUCUUCAUCUGCUGGGGGGAAAAUCACUCUCAGAAAGAAACACCCUCUCCUGCCAAGGCUUUGGGUGGGGCUCCGAAAGUUGUUUAUGACAACACUGAGUCAGCACAUUCAUCAGGGUCAAGCUCACAGUUGGAGAGGACUGGAAGAGGGCCUUAGUAGAGAAGAAACCUCCAGCUGAGGCCUCCUCAGUCUCAAAGGGAAUGGAAUCAGAAUCCACGAAUUCAUAAUGGAGAUUGGCAGACAGGUGAUGACAGUGCAGGCACAGCUGAUGGGGACUGCAGUCAAGUUGAAUGGAACCCAGUGACACAUAAGCCCUCCCUCCUGAGUGCUUCCUCACCAAAAUCACGCUUUGCUUUUUCACACAACAUAUAUUUAUUCAGAAAAAAAAUUUGCAAUAAAUUAUAAUAAAAAAGAUGACAUGAAAUAUAGAAUCCCACUAGCAGCUUUGCUUAGUGAUCAAGACGUUUUUGGGAAAUAUAACAACAAUUACAGAAUAAGAAAACAGUGAAAGGGAAACUAAUGCAAUGUCACCACAUGGAUUUGAACCGUUUCUUCCCUAGACAGCAGGUGCAGAGUUUUUCUCUACCAGGUGAAUCUGAAAUCCUUACUUCAGAGCAGCUACAAAUUAAUACCUUAGAGGACUUGGGGAUUACAGGUUGGGUGCUGGAAUAGGUGUGGCAGGGAUGCAGAUCUCUUCUGUCUGGGUCUAUGUCUUGUCUCCUCUACCUAGAGAUUGUCAAAAACUCUCAACCCUGUGUAUGUUCCAGGAUGAGCUGAAAAAAAGCUGAGGCAGUACAUCAACUUAGUGUUUUGACCUUAUGGAGAAACAGAUUGGAUACUGCACACGUGCAGCAAAGCCUCCACUAACCACACCCUUGAUCACCCAAAGAUCCCAGGUCAGCAAUAUGCUAGAAAACAAGCCCAGGAAAGGUAUUUCCCUGUGGUAUGACCUGACCCCAGUGUCUAUCAUCUGCCUCUUUUUGUGAUCACUUUCUGGCCUUGCGGAGAUGACUAAUCUGUUCUGCUCUCAGUCAUCCAUUAACUAAGUUCAACACCCAGCCCCUGACCUAUCGUAUCUCCAGCCCUUUGGCAACAGUUCCUUGACUCCUAUUGCUUUAACUCUCAAUCAGGAGAGGGUUUAGCCAUAUUGCAGAAUCCGUACUUUUUUUUUUUUUUGCUACAAAACUCAACUUUGAAGAGGUGGGGGAAAUAAUUCACUGGUGAUGUCUUGGAUAUGCUAGAAACGUCAUGGAGUCAAUGCCCAGGAUCGCACAGAGAGCCUGUAGCUUAUGCUCCUUGCAUUUAAUGUUAACAGGCAAGGGUGGUUGUAACAAAAGAAAACCAGGAGGAAGCCAACUGCAUCAGGCAGUUUUGCAGUCAGUGGCUGGUGGCUUGUCAAACAAAAUAGAUUAACUUUUUUUAAAAGGCUGUACCACAGAGCUUGAAUAAAUGACAAGCUCAGAGAAUCAUCUUGGAUGGGAGAGAUAACGUGCCUGGUUGGUCCUGUUGGCCAGUCUCUUUACAGAACACUGGAUAUGGUGACUAGGAGCCAAGAUGAGUCUCUAAACCCUUUACAUGCAGGAGCUGGUUAUAGAGCCCAGAGUCAGUCCUGCUAAGAGAGGAGGUGACAUCUGCCCUUACUACUUCAGAAGACCAGAGAAUGAAUUCUAAGGGUCAUCCGCAAUACCUUUGCUGUGGGAAGGAGCAAUAGCUCUAGAUGGGCCUGCCUGAGAUGCAAGACUCCCUCUACUAUGGGGCCAGUGUUGCUCUGGAGAUAGAUGUCUAGGCAGGAGAUGGGUCUCACAGACACCCAGGAUUAGUCCUUGUGUAA
Molecule: long non-coding RNA, 2147 nt
Organism: Cebus imitator (Panamanian white-faced capuchin)
Lineage: Eukaryota; Metazoa; Chordata; Mammalia; Primates; Cebidae
Exons: 2
Source: RefSeq, a predicted model, not a curated record